GUUGCCUGGACUGCUAAAAGAGGAAGAGUUGGUGUCUGGGUAUUAUUGCAUCAGAACCUUGUCACAGAAGCACUAGCAUCGUCACAUUUCCCAGAGAUAUUCCCUGUAACAGUUCCACUGGUACUGGAAAAGUCAGCAGACAAUGCCAGAAGUAAGGGUUGUGCAGAUUGGACAACCCUUACUAGGUUCCACAUAAGUGGGAAACUCCGUGGUCCCUGUACCGUGAAUACUGAGCUCCAUGAUAGGACAUGGUUGUGGCCCCUUGUCCACGUGAAUCCUGAAAGGGAAGCAUCUCUUUAUUGGAAAACUAGACAUUCGUCUUCCACAGAAGUGUCAAGGAAGGAGAAGAAACACAAGGGCCAUAGGUUGAAGAGCACAAUAUGGAUUCCUAGCUGGAUGUGGUGAGUACAGUACACAGUUAUUGCCUGAAGGAGGAGGAUGACUCAAGGCUCAGCUCGCCUGUGACUGGACAACCCCUAGAACUGUACUUUAUGUUCCAAAGAAUUUUUCACGUGAACCCUGUUAGUUCAACAUAAGAUUCAAGGUAUGAGUGUCAAUGGUGGACACCUCUAGUCACAGAGAUUUGGGAGGCUGAGACAGAAGGAGCACUUGAGCCCAGGAGUUCCAGGUCCACCUGGACAACACAGACCUCAUAUCAAAAAGACAAGAUUCAAAAUAUGGCCAACCUCAACAUGACACUGAAACUGAGUUUAAAAAAAAAAACACAAUACUUCUGGAAAAUUCUGCCCCAAAGCCUGGCCCACGUCCCUGUACUACCGUCUGCCUACAUACAUCUUCUGAAAUGUGUGACACUUGCCUCAUCUGCAGACAUGCAACAUCUCCCGCAGGAUGCACUUGACCUCAGGCAGGGUGGGAAGAACGGGGGAAUGUUGAGAAGAUGCCCCAGUGAUGCCAAGGUGGCAUCUUCAGACAUGUGACCCCCAAAAAUGUGACUUUGCUGUAUGUUUUGAUCACACCUUGUAUUUAUCUGUGUUUGACUUUACUGAGCCUUGGAUUAUUCGUGAGAUCUAACAUCUGCUUUGUGGUGCCCAUUCCACCAUUUUCAGACAUGCAGUAUCUGAAAGUGAGGGCUGCUCCUUGCAGUUCCCAGCCUGGGCUGCUCUUCCUGUGCAAGACCCAGAGCUCCAGCCCUGAUGUCUACAGAGGGGGUGAUCAGAAAAUACGGUGACUAUCAUAAAUUUUAAAAAAUGUAUCACAGUAAAAAACAUAUUGCCAAGGAUGAUGGGAUAUGUGUGUUCAAAGUGCGGGAAGGUGUUUGAAUAAUUUGAGGGAGGUU
This 1297-nucleotide long non-coding RNA is filed under the name Chinchilla lanigera (long-tailed chinchilla). Its description in RNAcentral is "lncRNA (ENSCLAG00000023985.1)". Lineage: Eukaryota; Metazoa; Chordata; Mammalia; Rodentia; Chinchillidae. The record is from RNAcentral.